GACGAACGCUGGCGGCGUGCUUAACACAUGCAAGUCGAACGGAAAGGCCCUGCUUUUGUGGGGUGCUCGAGUGGCGAACGGGUGAGUAACACGUGAGUAACCUGCCCUUGACUUUGGGAUAACUUCAGGAAACUGGGGCUAAUACCGGAUAGGAGCUCCUGCUGCAUGGUGGGGGUUGGAAAGUUUCGGCGGUUGGGGAUGGACUCGCGGCUUAUCAGCUUGUUGGUGGGGUAGUGGCUUACCAAGGCUUUGACGGGUAGCCGGCCUGAGAGGGUGACCGGCCACAUUGGGACUGAGAUACGGCCCAGACUCCUACGGGAGGCAGCAGUGGGGAAUAUUGCACAAUGGGCGGAAGCCUGAUGCAGCAACGCCGCGUGCGGGAUGACGGCCUUCGGGUUGUAAACCGCUUUCGCCUGUGACGAAGCGUGAGUGACGGUAAUGGGUAAAGAAGCACCGGCUAACUACGUGCCAGCAGCCGCGGUGAUACGUAGGGUGCGAGCGUUGUCCGGAUUUAUUGGGCGUAAAGGGCUCGUAGGUGGUUGAUCGCGUCGGAAGUGUAAUCUUGGGGCUUAACCCUGAGCGUGCUUUCGAUACGGGUUGACUUGAGGAAGGUAGGGGAGAAUGGAAUUCCUGGUGGAGCGGUGGAAUGCGCAGAUAUCAGGAGGAACACCAGUGGCGAAGGCGGUUCUCUGGGCCUUUCCUGACGCUGAGGAGCGAAAGCGUGGGGAGCGAACAGGCUUAGAUACCCUGGUAGUCCACGCUGUAAACGGUGGGUACUAGGUGUGGGGUCCAUUCCACGGGUUCCGUGCCGUAGCUAACGCUUUAAGUACCCCGCCUGGGGAGUACGGCCGCAAGGCUAAAACUCAAAGGAAUUGACGGGGCCCCGCACAAGCGGCGGAGCAUGCGGAUUAAUUCGAUGCAACGCGUAGAACCUUACCUGGGUUUGACAUGGAUCGGGAGCGCUCAGAGAUGGGUGUGCCUCUUUUGGGGUCGGUUCACAGGUGGUGCAUGGCUGUCGUCAGCUCGUGUCGUGAGAUGUUGGGUUAAGCCCCGCAACGAGCGCAACCCUUGUUCACUGUUGCCAGCACGUUAUGGUGGGGACUCAGUGGAGACCGCCGGGGUCAACUCGGAGGAAGGUGGGGAUGACGUCAAAUCAUCAUGCCCCUUAUGUCCAGGGCUUCACGCAUGCUACAAUGGCUGGUACAGAGAGUGGCGAGCCUGUGAGGGUGAGCGAAUCUCGGAAAGCCGGUCUCAGUUCGGAUUGGGGUCUGCAACUCGACCUCAUGAAGUCGGAGUCGCUAGUAAUCGCAGAUCAGCAACGCUGCGGUGAAUACGUUCCCGGG
This 1343-nucleotide ribosomal RNA is filed under the name uncultured bacterium. RNAcentral describes it as "16S ribosomal RNA". It matches the Rfam family "Bacterial small subunit ribosomal RNA", at positions 28 to 1378 of the family's 1533-position model. The record is from RNAcentral.